RNAcentral lists this ribosomal RNA (691 nucleotides) under uncultured basidiomycote Marennes-Oleron_12. RNAcentral describes it as "partial 24S large subunit ribosomal RNA". It matches the Rfam family "Eukaryotic large subunit ribosomal RNA", at positions 55 to 677 of the family's 3401-position model. The record is from RNAcentral. Lineage: Eukaryota; Fungi; Basidiomycota.
GGAAGAGAGACCAACAGGGAUUCCCUCAGUAAUGGCGAAUGAAGCGGGAAUAGCUCAAAUUUGAAAUCUCCCCGGAGAAUUGUAGUUUGUGGGGGCACAUUUGACGGCGACCCAGGCCCAAGUCCUCUGGAACGAGGCAUCAGUGAGGGUGACAAUCCCGUCCACGGCCUGGCAAUCGUCGCGCACAAAUGGCCUUCAAAGAGUCGGGUUGCUUGGGAGUGCAGCCCAAAGUGGGUGGUAUAUUCCAUCUAAGGCUAAAUAUUGGCAAGAGACCGAUAGCAAACAAGUACCGUGAGGGAAAGAUGAAAAGAACUUUGAAAAGAGAGUUAAAGUGUGAAAUUGCUAAAAGGGAAACGUUUGGAGCCAGUGUUGGCAAGGGCAAAUCAGCCGUCUGGGCGACUAGGCGGUGCACUUUGCUCUUGGCAGGUCAGCAUCAGUUGCGCGGGGGUCAGAACGGCGCGGGAAUGUGCCUACCCCUCGGGGUAGAGUUAUAGCCCGCGCUUGUGGCCUUGGCGCGACUGAGGAAUGCAGUGCUCAUCAGGGCGGCUGGGGGUUGUCGAGAAGACGUUGUGUAGGGAGCAUGCUGCCUACCGAUUGCCAUCGGCACCCUUCAGCGCGGCCACUCAAGCACUCAGGAUGCUGACCAAAUGGCUUCAAGCGACCCGUCUUGAAACACGGACCAAGGAAGGGC